This 942-nucleotide ribosomal RNA is filed under the name Triticum aestivum (bread wheat). Its description in RNAcentral is "partial small subunit ribosomal RNA". The record is from RNAcentral. Lineage: Eukaryota; Viridiplantae; Streptophyta; Magnoliopsida; Poales; Poaceae.
AUGUCUCUGGCCCGCCUCGGCCAGUCGCUGGUCCGCCGCCUUCACCGGCCUCUCCACCUGCCUCCGCCGCUGCCGCCAGAUCACUAUGCCACCGUUUCCCGAUCUUUAGCUCUGAUCCACGCGAAUACAUCUGUAAGAGGCUUUGCAAGCUUAGCAUACAAUGGCGGCGGCGUGAUUUCUGGCAAGUUUGGAGGGCCGUCGCAUGUCCACACCGCGCAGAUUCUAGAGCUUGCAGUCCACCUAAAUCAUGCAAGACCAAUGUCGUCAGGAGCAGGAGCAGCCCCAAAACCACCAUCCCUGUCCGAAGGCGUUUCUUUUGGUGGUUACAAGGUUGCUUUGAAAGCUGACAUGCCGAGCCCUGGUUUUGUUUUUGAGCCAUACCGUGUCCCGGAACCUAUCCCAUUUUGGAAAAGAUUGUUUACACCAAGUGGCUGGAGUAGAACAAAAGAGGAUGCUAUUCUGCAGUUCAUGAAUGCAUUUACUGUGUCAAAGUUGAGGAAGAAAAUCGGAUAUAACAAAAAACAGUUCCAGGAGCAAGCGUUUAAUAUAUACAAGGAGGUUAACAAGCUUAUUGCACGAGGAGACAUACCAUCUCUCCAGAAAGCUCUCACAGAUGAUAUGCAUUCUACUGUCAAAAAUGAAAUAAGGAAAAGACAAUCCAAGUGGAAAUCUGUACACUGGGAAUUGGUGGAGCCUGCUGUAAGCAUAAGAACUUUGAAGGCUCGUAUGAUUACUCUUGAUAAGAAUGACCUUAACAAAGCUUACGUACAGCUUACGCUUGAGUUCAUCACUAAGCAGAAAUUUGAAGCCUAUAAUUCAAAAAGAGAGGUUGUGUCAGGAGACAAGUCAAAGGAGGUGCUGGUGAAAGACAUAUGGGUGUUUGAAAGAUCCCUUUUCCACCCUGGAGCAUACUGGCGCGUGUGUGCGCGAAUCACGCUGUAA